Molecule: long non-coding RNA, 673 nt
Filed under: Mytilus galloprovincialis (Mediterranean mussel)
Lineage: Eukaryota; Metazoa; Mollusca; Bivalvia; Mytilida; Mytilidae
Source: RNAcentral
GUAAAAAUAAAACACAGCCAUUAUUGCCAUGCAUUUGCAAUUUUUCCAUAUAUUUUUCAAUUUAUUCAAUGCCGAUCAUUACAUGUAUGACGACCAGUAGACGUCAAUAAUGACUUAAUUAGAUUGAGCUAAAACGUAUACAAAUAUGACAUUGUGUCUGUUAAAUCAAUAUAGAAUAAGAUUAUCAAUGAGACGUUAUAUCACAAGAGACAAAGGGAAGAGGGUAUCAAAAGUAAAAUCACAAAAAAUACUGAACUCUGAGGAAAAUUCAAAACGGAAAGUUUCUAAUCAAAUGGCAAAAUCUAAAAAGCUAAAAAAAAAAAAAACAACUGGCACAUUCUUGACUAGUACAACCAUUUUCUUAUGUAGCCUGGUUUUAUAGCUCGCUUAACCUCUCACUUGUGUGUCAGUCGCAUAUAUAAACAACUAUAUGGCAAUGUUUGGCUCACAAAAAUGAAAGUAUAAAACGACCAUGUAUGACGAAACCUUCAAUUAAAUUGAGAACAAUAAUCCGAAGGAAGAGAAGAUAACAGCCGAAGGCCGUCAAUGGGUCUUAACAAAGCUAGAAAACCCCACUCCCGGUGCCAACAGUUUUUGGUAAGGUUCGUGUUGCUUUAUCUUUACUUGUAUAUGUUGAUUCGAGCGCUACUGAUGAGUCUUUUGUAGACGAAAC